RNAcentral lists this long non-coding RNA (232 nucleotides) under Hordeum vulgare. Its description in RNAcentral is "long non-coding RNA (HVUL_LNC002840)". The record is from RNAcentral. Lineage: Eukaryota; Viridiplantae; Streptophyta; Magnoliopsida; Poales; Poaceae.
UCAAAUUUGAAAAAAGUUCAUGAAAUUUAUAAAAAGUUCACCGAAUUAAAAAAGAUUUCAUUAAUUUUGGAAGAAAAUAUUCAACUUGAAAAAUGGUCAUCAAUUUUUUUUUAAAAUUAUCAAAUUUAAAAAAAGUUCAUCAAAUUUAAAAUAAGUUCAUCAAAUUAUUAAAAAUCAUUGAAUUUGAGAAAAAAGUGAUCAGAUCGGAUGUGGUGGCUCGGUGGUUAUGGCC